Molossus molossus (Pallas's mastiff bat) is the source of this 129-nucleotide small nucleolar RNA. RefSeq annotates it as small nucleolar RNA SNORA68. The record is from RefSeq and is a predicted model, not a curated record. The transcript has a single exon. Lineage: Eukaryota; Metazoa; Chordata; Mammalia; Chiroptera; Molossidae.
UAAGCACCUAAACCCAAAACUGCUGUUUCUCAUAGCAGUAGUUUAAACAGGUGCUGACAACAAGUGAACCUUGUCGCCUUUGGGGGCUGUGGCUGUGCCCCUCAAAGUGAAUUAGGAGGUUCUACAUUC